RNAcentral lists this ribosomal RNA (248 nucleotides) under uncultured type I methanotroph. RNAcentral describes it as "partial 16S ribosomal RNA". It matches the Rfam family "Bacterial small subunit ribosomal RNA", at positions 373 to 615 of the family's 1533-position model. The record is from RNAcentral. Lineage: Bacteria; Pseudomonadati; Pseudomonadota; Gammaproteobacteria; Methylococcales; Methylococcaceae.
GGGCGCAGCCUGAUCCAGCAUACCGCGUGUGUGAAGAAGGCCUGAGGGUUGUAAAGCACUUUCAACAGGGAGGAAAACCUGCCGGCUAAUACCCGGCAGCCUGACAUUACCGAUAGAAAAAGCACCGGCUAACUCCCUGCCAGCCGCCCCGGUAAUUACGGAGGGUGCAAGCGUUAAUCGGAAUUACUGGGCGUAAAGCGUGCGUAGGCGGCCGUUUAAGUCAGAUGUGAAAGCCCCGGGCUUAACCU